Molecule: ribosomal RNA, 860 nt
Filed under: uncultured bacterium
Lineage: Bacteria
Description: bacterial SSU rRNA
Rfam family: Bacterial small subunit ribosomal RNA
Source: RNAcentral
UCGACGGACUUAACCAUUAGUUACUAUUGGAGCGGUUAGUGGCGGACUGGUGAGUAACACGUAAGCAACCUGCCUAUCAGAGGGGAACAACAGUUAGAAAUGACUGCUAAUACCGCAUAUACCUAAGUAUCGCAUGAUACAAUAGGGAAAGGAGCAAUCCGCUGAUAGAUGGGCUUGCGUCUGAUUAGCUAGUUGGUGGGGUAACGGCCUACCAAGGCGACGAUCAGUAGCCGGACUGAGAGGUUGAACGGCCACAUUGGGACUGAGAUACGGCCCAGACUCCUACGGGAGGCAGCAGUCGGGAAUAUUGCGCAAUGGAGGAAACUCUGACGCAGUGACGCCGCGUGCAGGAAGAAGGUUUUCGGAUUGUAAACUGCUUUAGACAGGGAAGAAACAAGACAGUACCUGUAAAAUAAGCUCCGGCUAACUACGUGCCAGCAGCCGCGGUAAUACGUAGGGAGCAAGCGUUAUCCGGAUUUAUUGGGUGUAAAGGGUGCGUAGACGGGAAGGCAAGUUAGUUGUGAAAUCCCUCGGCUUAACUGAGGAACUGCAACUAAAACUAUCUUUCUUGAGUGCUGGAGAGGAAAGUGGAAUUCCUAGUGUAGCGGUGAAAUGCGUAGAUAUUAGGAGGAACACCAGUGGCGAAGGCGACUUUCUGGACAGUAACUGACGUUGAGGCACGAAAGUGUGGGGAGCAAACAGGAUUAGAUACCCUGGUAGUCCACACCGUAAACGAUGGAUACUAGGUGUAGGAGAUGAAUAAUCUUCUGUGCCGUCGCAAACGCAGUAAGUAUCCCACCUGGGGAGUACGGCCGCAAGGUUGAAACUCAAAGGAAUUGACGGGGGCCCGCACAAGCAGU